GAUGAACGCUGGCGGCGUGCCUAAUACAUGCAAGUCGAGCGAACAGACGAGGGGCUUGCUCCUCUGAUGUUAGCGGCGGACGGGUGAGUAACACGUGGAUAACCUACCUAUAAGACUGGGAUAACUUCGGGAAACCGGAGCUAAUACCGGAUAACAUGUUGAACCGCAUGGUUCAACAGUGAAAGACGGUCUUGCUGUCACUUAUAGAUGGAUCCGCGCCGCAUUAGCUAGUUGGUAAGGUAACGGCUUACCAAGGCAACGAUGCGUAGCCGACCUGAGAGGGUGAUCGGCCACACUGGAACUGAGACACGGUCCAGACUCCUACGGGAGGCAGCAGUAGGGAAUCUUCCGUAAUGGGCGAAAGCCUGACGGAGCAACGCCGCGUGAGUGAAGAAGGUCUUCGGAUCGUAAAACUCUGUUAUUAGGGAAGAACAAAUGUGUAAGUAACUAUGCACGUCUUGACGGUACCUAAUCAGAAAGCCACGGCUAACUACGU
RNAcentral lists this ribosomal RNA (496 nucleotides) under uncultured bacterium. RNAcentral describes it as "partial 16S ribosomal RNA". It matches the Rfam family "Bacterial small subunit ribosomal RNA", at positions 28 to 506 of the family's 1533-position model. The record is from RNAcentral.